Non-coding RNA from Arachis ipaensis, 634 nucleotides. NCBI's taxonomy places the organism in Eukaryota, Viridiplantae, Streptophyta, Magnoliopsida, Fabales, Fabaceae. The record is from RefSeq and is a predicted model, not a curated record.
CCGACAGAUGAGACUCAUCAGCCAUAGGACAGGCAUACAUCAUAUGCAUUUGUUUGCUUUGUUUGAGUGUGCAUUGUCUUAGCUUACUUAACUAUUAAAUUCUACUUAUCUGCUACUUGUUCUACUUGUUGUAAAUGCUUCUCUAUUUGUGUUUUUCUUGUCUGUAAUGUUGGUCUAUGCAACUAAGAGGCCCCUUGUCUGGCGGAGGAAUGACGAGGGUUGUUCCACCAGAGAUUCGGAGAACUGGAGGAGUCAGAAAGUGAAGUAUUAAGUUAAAGUUCAGAUUCAGAACUAGAAUACCUCAGAUAACUUACCUAACUUUUGGAUGCAGGUCAAGAGACACCUCGUUGAGCGUCUGGGUAUUCUCCUUACAAGCGAAGAACUACCUUUUUGACUGUCAUAUUUUGAUUUUGGGCUAUGUAUACAUGUUUAUAGAAUCUCCACAUGUACAUUUUGUGUUUUGUCCCUCCUAGAGGUCGACUUGGAGAUACAGGGGUUUACUUUGUGGUUUGACUUUUAUUUUGGGUUGUAUAUAUAUAAUCAUAUACUCUGGCCGGCCUUAGCUUCGCAGGUCGAGUCUGGAGCUUGCUAUCUAAGUUUUGGAACUCUGAUAUGUAUAUAUGUUUUCAGCUUC